GCAAAAGUCGUAACACGGUUUCCGUAGGUGAACCUGCGGAAGGAUCAUUCACACGUGAUGCAUGCAGCAAGCUGGAAAGGUGCCUGUUUGUAUGUGGGAAGUGCAUUUAUUAUGCACACCUGCAUUCAUGCGAGGUUACUGUCAAUCCGGCGACUGCAUGUAUGGCUUCUUGGACCGCAAUAACAACAACCUGUAAAUCUCUUUUCUUCUCCACAACGGUUUUUCUUUUGUUUACGGUACUUUAUUUGUGUACCACAACUAUAAGCUGUUGGGGUUUUCAGCUGCUUCACUGUGCUACUGGAUGAUAGGCUAGCUGCAUUUGUUUUGCCGGUCGGGGUUGUUGUUCGGCAGGCACAGCAUGGCAGCAGAGCUGUCGGCAGUGGCAGGUGUUUGCAGUUGUGUACCAUUUAAUUCUGCUAAAGAGCAGAAUGAUUUGUUUACAAAAAAAAACUUUCA
Molecule: unclassified non-coding RNA, 456 nt
Filed under: Eimeria meleagrimitis
Lineage: Eukaryota; Apicomplexa; Conoidasida; Eucoccidiorida; Eimeriidae
Description: sequence contains 18S rRNA gene, ITS1 and 5.8S rRNA gene
Rfam family: Eukaryotic small subunit ribosomal RNA (bases 1-50)
Source: RNAcentral